GACGAACGCUGGCGGCGUGCUUAACACAUGCAAGUCGAACGGUAAGGCCCUUCGGGGUACACGAGUGGCGAACGGGUGAGUAACACGUGGGUGAUCUGCCCUGCACUUCGGGAUAAGCCUGGGAAACUGGGUCUAAUACCGGAUAGGACCACUGCCUGCAUGGGUGGUGGUGGAAAGCUUUUGCGGUGUGGGAUGGGCCCGCGGCCUAUCAGCUUGGUGGUGGGGUGAUGGCCUACCAAGGCGACGACGGGUAGCCGGCCUGAGAGGGUAACCGGUCACACUGGGACUGAGAUACGGCCAAGACUCCUACGGGAGGCAGCAGUGGGGAAUAUUGCACAAUGGGCGCAAGCCUGAUGCAGCGACGCCGCGUGAGGGAUGACGGCCUUCGGGUUGUAAACCUCUUUCAGCACCGACGAAGCGCAAGUGACGGUAGGUGCAGAAGAAGGACCGGCCAACUACGUGCCAGCCGCCGCCGUAA
RNAcentral lists this ribosomal RNA (478 nucleotides) under uncultured bacterium. RNAcentral describes it as "partial 16S ribosomal RNA". It matches the Rfam family "Bacterial small subunit ribosomal RNA", at positions 28 to 523 of the family's 1533-position model. The record is from RNAcentral.